Molecule: ribosomal RNA, 422 nt
Filed under: uncultured bacterium
Lineage: Bacteria
Description: bacterial SSU rRNA
Rfam family: Bacterial small subunit ribosomal RNA
Source: RNAcentral
AAUUUUGGACAAUGGGGGAAACCCUGAUCCAGCCAUGCCGCGUGAGUGAAGAAGGCCCUCGGGUUGUAAAGCUCUUUCAGCCGGAACGAAAAGGUCACGGUUAAUACCUGUGACAAAUGACGGUACCGGAAGAAGAAGCACCGGCUAACUACGUGCCAGCAGCCGCGGUCAUACGGAGGAUCCAAGCGUUAUCCGGAAUUACUGGGCGUAAAGAGUUGCGUAGGUGGCAUUGUAAGUUGGUAGUGAAAGCGUUCGGCUCAACCGGAUAUCCAUUAUCAAAACUGCAAGGCUAGAGGAUGAGAGAGGUUAUUGGAAUUCCCAGUGUAGGAGUGAAAUCCGUAGAUAUUGGGAGGAACACCGAUGGCGUAGGCAGAUAACUGGCUCAUUCCUGACACUAAGGCACGAAAGCGUGGGGAGCAAAC